GCCAGGCACAGUGGCAUGUGUCUACAGUCCCAGCUACUCAGGAGGCUGAGGUGGGAGAAUGGCUUGAGCCCAGGAAUUCUAGGCUGUAAUACGCUAUGCCUGUCAGGUGUCACACCAAGUUUAACAUUAGUGUGGUGAGCUCUCCAGAAGCUAGGGACCACCAGGUUAAUUAAGGAGGGGUGAAUUCGCCCCGGUCGGAAAUGGAGCAGGUCAAAACUCCAGUGCUGAUCAGUUGUGGGAUUGUGCCAGUGAAUAGCCACUGCACUCUAGCACGGGCAACAUUGCAUGAUCCUGUCUUU
This 299-nucleotide signal recognition particle RNA is filed under the name Carlito syrichta (Philippine tarsier). RNAcentral's name for it is "Metazoan signal recognition particle RNA (ENSTSYG00000027365.1)". It matches the Rfam family "Metazoan signal recognition particle RNA". From Rfam's summary of the family: The signal recognition particle (SRP) is a universally conserved ribonucleoprotein. The record is from RNAcentral. Lineage: Eukaryota; Metazoa; Chordata; Mammalia; Primates; Tarsiidae.